UGUAGUGUGGUGCAAGCAGUCGCGGGAAUGAGGAUGGGUGAAGGGUCAAUCGGAAUGACCGGGCGUAAAGCGGUGUCGUGCGGCUUAUUAAUUCAGAUGUGAAAUCACUAGGCGUAACCUAUGAACUGCAUGUGAAACUAAGAAACUAGAGGAUCGUAGAGGGGGGUAGAAGUCCAGGUUGAGCGGGGAAAUGCGUAGAUAUCUGGAGGAAUACCAGUGGCGAAGGCGACCUCCUGGACGAAAACUGACGCUCAAGCACGAAAGCAUGGGGAGCAAACAGGAUUAGAUACCCCAGUAGUC
Molecule: ribosomal RNA, 300 nt
Filed under: uncultured Desulfovibrio sp.
Lineage: Bacteria; Pseudomonadati; Thermodesulfobacteriota; Desulfovibrionia; Desulfovibrionales; Desulfovibrionaceae
Description: bacterial SSU rRNA
Rfam family: Bacterial small subunit ribosomal RNA
Source: RNAcentral